GGGCCCGCACAAGCGGUGGAGUAUGUGGUUUAAUUCGAUGCAACGCGAAGAACCUUACCAGGGCUUAAAUGUAAGUUGCAUUAGUUAGAGAUAGCUAUUUCUUCGGACCACUUACAAGGUGCUGCAUGGUUGUCGUCAGCUCGUGCCGUGAGGUGUCAGGUUAAGUCCUAUAACGAGCGCAACCCCUGUUGUUAGUUGCCAGCGAGUCAUGUCGGGAACUCUAACAAGACUGCCGGUGCAAACCGUGAGGAAGGUGGGGAUGACGUCAAAUCAUCACGGCCCUUACGUCCUGGGCUACACACGUGCUACAAUGGUCGGUACAGAGAGCAGCCACUACGCGAGUAGGAGCGAAUCUUCAAAGCCGAUCACAGUUCGGAUCGCAGUCUGCAACUCGACUGCGUGAAGCUGGAAUCGCUAGUAAUCGGAUAUC
This 430-nucleotide ribosomal RNA is filed under the name uncultured bacterium. Its description in RNAcentral is "bacterial SSU rRNA". It matches the Rfam family "Bacterial small subunit ribosomal RNA", at positions 917 to 1350 of the family's 1533-position model. The record is from RNAcentral.